CUAGGAAUCUUGGGAAUGGGCGAAAGCCUGACCCAGCAACGCCGCGUGGGCGAUGAAGGCCUUCGGGUCGUAAAGCCCUUUUGUGGGGGAAGAUGAUGACGGUACCCCACGAAUAAGCCACGGCUAACUACGUGCCAGCAGCCGCGGUAAUACGUAGGUGGCAAGCGUUGUCCGGAUUUACUGGGCGUAAAGGGCGUGCAGGCGGUUCGUUAAGUUCGAGGUGAAAGCUCCCGGCUCAACUGGGAGAGGUCCUUGGAUACUGGCGGACUUGAGGGAGGCAGAGGAAAGUGGAAUUCCCGGUGUAGUGGUGAUAUGCGUAGAUAUCGGGAGGAACACCAGUGGCGAAGGCGGCUUUCUGGGCCUUACCUGACGCUGAGACGCGAAAGCGUGGGGAGCGAACCGGAUUAGAUACCCGCGUAGUCC
RNAcentral lists this ribosomal RNA (423 nucleotides) under uncultured prokaryote. Its description in RNAcentral is "bacterial SSU rRNA". It matches the Rfam family "Bacterial small subunit ribosomal RNA", at positions 355 to 796 of the family's 1533-position model. The record is from RNAcentral.